AGCUGAUCAGAUGACUUCCAAGGAUGAUGCAGUUUGGAUGCUCCAAAGCCCAGAAACUUCCCUGAGCUACACCUGGAAAGGGAUCCAAAAGUACACCAGAAUCUCCACUUUGAACUGAUGGCAGAAAAGAGGAGGUUGAAAUUAUUGAGAGACCUCUUGAUGGAGCCCCUACAGAACUGUCAAGUACUUCUUUCCAUCAAGUCCUCUGAGGAACAUCUGCAAAACAGAGACAUUGAGGAGCAGCCGAGAUCCUCCACAAUCUUGGGGACGAAUAUCAGAAUGGAAAGAGGCGCUAAGAGGCCACGCUUUGACCACUGGAGUCUAAGAUGGGCCAGCAGGAAGGAAAACAAUUUUAACAAACAACGCAGGGAGACAGCAAGAGACAAACUGCUGUGCCCAAGGAGGAAGGACUUGAAGGAUGAAGGAAAAUGCCCUCUCUCCCCUCUCACCUGUAAACCCCAUGUUCUUCCUCUCCCCAACCCAAAUCCUGCUCUUCCCCCUCUAUCCAAUCCCCAAACCCCUCUUGUCCCUUGGUCCAACUCACCCCCUGCUCUUUCACUUCUGCCCUUACCCUUGUUCCGGCUUCUCCCCCUACUUCGAGAGGAGUGCCAUCUCCCAAAUCUACCAGCUGAGGUAACUUCCCAACGAUUUCAAACCCCCUCUAGUGCAGUGGUCCCCAACCUUUUUGGGACAGCAAACUGGUUGGGGUGGUUGGGCUCCGUGCGGGGUUGUGUGUUGCCCUCGCCCCCCCCUCGAGCAAGCAAGGGGUGGGGGGACUGUGGGGCGGAGAUCCAUCUCCACAGCCCAGUUCCAGGAAGGCCACGGACUGGCACCAGGCCACGGACUGGGGGUUGGGGACCCCAGCUUUAG
RNAcentral lists this long non-coding RNA (870 nucleotides) under Pogona vitticeps (central bearded dragon). Its description in RNAcentral is "lncRNA (ENSPVIG00000011036.1)". The record is from RNAcentral. Lineage: Eukaryota; Metazoa; Chordata; Lepidosauria; Squamata; Agamidae.